RNAcentral lists this ribosomal RNA (405 nucleotides) under uncultured Bdellovibrio sp. RNAcentral's name for it is "bacterial SSU rRNA". It matches the Rfam family "Bacterial small subunit ribosomal RNA", at positions 355 to 774 of the family's 1533-position model. Lineage: Bacteria; Pseudomonadati; Bdellovibrionota; Bdellovibrionia; Bdellovibrionales; Pseudobdellovibrionaceae. The record is from RNAcentral.
UAGGGAAUAUUGCACAAUGGGGGAAACCCUGAUGCAGCGACGCCGCGUGAGUGAUGAAGGCCUUAGGGUCGUAAAGCUCUGUUGUACGGGAAGAAAAAAAUGACGGUACCGUAUAAGAAAGGAUCGGCUAACUUCGUGCCAGCAGCCGCGGUAAUACGAGGGAUCCUAGCGUUGUUCGGAAUCAUUGGGCGUAAAGCGUGUGUAGGCGGCCAAGCAAGUCAGUUGUGAAAGCCCCGGGCUUAACCCGGGAAGUGCUUCUGAUACUGCAUGGCUUGAGUACUGGAGAGGAUAGUAGAAUUCCUGGUGUAGUGGUGAAAUACGUAGAUAUCAGGAGGAAUACCGGUGGCGAAGGCGGCUAUCUGGCCAUGUACUGACGCUGAGACACGAAAGCGUGGGGAGCAAACA